RNAcentral lists this long non-coding RNA (248 nucleotides) under Phoenix dactylifera (date palm). RNAcentral describes it as "long non-coding RNA (PDAC_LNC013826)". The record is from RNAcentral. Lineage: Eukaryota; Viridiplantae; Streptophyta; Magnoliopsida; Arecales; Arecaceae.
UCAGUAAGACCUUAGCAGCUCUACUACAGUGGAAGACCUAUGGACUUAAUAUUGGUUAAUCAGGUCUUAGUGUUUGCAACCUUGAGCUCUUCAUAAGAGGUAAUUGAACAAUUGGCCACGUAAGCAGGUGGGAGGCUCCCCUUACUCAGAUAGUAAGGUCCUAAUUAAGUAACCACCUUUCAUGCUUUCCUAGACACCAAUUAGAUCAAUUAAUCUAAUAUGACUCGCUCAUGUUGGUUCACUCUCGA